GGGGCAUUCUGUUUCGGAGUGCAAUUUCCAUGUGGCCCAUGUAGCGUGCAGUGCCCUCCUCUCCUGAGCUGUGAGUAUAUGUAACUAAUAAACUGCUGUCUGUCUCAUCUGUCCAGUGUUGGGUGUUGUGUGUUCAGCCAUGCCUAUAACCACAGGGUGGGAAUCCCUCCUUUACCAAUAGAGUAAAUAGGAGGUGAUUAAAACACAGAUAGGUACCAACAUGACGAUAAUCUAAUUAGGAAACAGAGGCAAGGAAAUUCCACAUGGCUCAAACUUGUAUGUGUGGUAGCUUAGUGGUUUUGUUCAUUGUAGGAGUCCAGAUGGUAGUUGGGGGUGAGAAGUCCUAAGAACCAGAGGGCUAGGCAAGGAUACCAAGGUUCUCCAUAGGCAAAGCCUCUUCUCUCGAAAGUGCUCAAGGCCUACUUCCUUAGUCCAAUCAAAUCUCUGCUUAAAUAUCAUCUCAUCAGAGAUACUUCCUUUAUAACCUAACUUGAAGCAGCACCUCCUUCCCUAUUAUUUUCUAUUCCCUUAUUCUGAUGGAUUUUUAUUUUUAGCAUUUCUCUAAUAUUCAGUAUAUGUUUGUCUCUUGACAUUAGAGUAAUCUCCAUGAGGGGAAGACUUGUUCAUCCCUGUAGCACUACUGCCUAAAGCAGUACCUGACAAAAUGGUAGGUGCAUAAUAAAUAUCCCUUGAAUGCAUGAUGUUAUAAGUCUAGUCCUAUGGGCCUGGCCAGCUCUUUGUGUGUGUUGUGUGUGAAGGGAAAGAGAGAAAGGGAGAAAGUAAGGAGUGAAGUAUAAGGAUUGUCACUUGGGGUGUGUAUGUGUGUGGCGGGGGGCAGAGGGAGGUGGUGGGUGGAAAUCCAAGACUACAGCUGAAACAGUAGAUGCCAAACCUAGCCUGAGGAAUUUAUUUCAGGAUUCAAUAGUGGAAAAGGAAAAAAAAAAAUAGGGAAGACCAAAGUGUCCUGAUUGACUCCGGAUCUGACGAUGCCCACAUUUACACAUGGAGGGAAUCCAUAAUCCCUGCUGUGGUGGGGAAUAGAAAGGAGAGUUGUGGAAUAACGUUCAAUAACAAAUUACUAAGAAAAAUUAUUAUGAGGUUAUAGAAUAAAGGAGUCUCUAUGCAUAAGAAAAGAAUGGAAGAAGGGCAAGCAAACUUGUCUCUGAGCAUGCCAAUGAGAAGAAUUUUUUGGGCUAGCUGACAAAAAACGUAGAGAAAAAAACAUUUUAGCUAUUAAAAAGUUUAUGAGGUGUGGUAAAUUAGAAAAGGGGAAAAAACCCUAACAUGUGAUGUUGUUAUAAAAAUGGAUUUGGAUAAAGAGAAGUCUGCAAAUCAGUCAACAAAUUUACCAUAGGGGCAGAAGGGAAAAUCACAGUAUGAAAAAGGAAAUGCAUACAGGAGAAAGGGGAAAGAAUUUUAAAAAUAAGAGUCUGUUUGGUUUAAUAAACAUGUAACUUAUCAAUUUUUUUUUUUUUUUUUUUUGAGACGGAGUCUCACUCUGCUGCCCAGGCUGGAAUGGAGUGGCAUGAUGUCGGCUCACUGCAACCUCUACUUCCCAGGUUCAAGCGAUUCUCCUGCUUUAACCUCCCAAGUAGCUGGGCCUACAAGCACACACCACCAUGGCCGGCUAAUUUUAGUAGAGACAGGGUUUUGCCAUGUUGGCUAGGCUGGUCUCGAACUCCUGACCUCAAGUGAUCCACCCACCUUGGCCUCCGAGAGUGCUGGGAUUACAGGCGUGAAUCACCAUGCCCGGCAAUUUAAUAUUUGAAAAGAACACUGUUAAAAGAACUGCAAGCAUGAUGAUAUGGAAACACCUUCCAAAAUACUAGUUUGAAAAAAUGUUCCACUGUUUGGUUUAAUAUAUUAGGUAGUACUGUAAUCACUUUUAUUGCUACAAUAACUUCAGGAAACUACCCAGGGCAGAUGUCUUCAAAAAAAGAGCAGGAAGAAGGCAAAUGGCAGAUGAAAUGAGAUGUCAAUAUGGAACUA
RNAcentral lists this long non-coding RNA (1989 nucleotides) under Homo sapiens (human). RNAcentral's name for it is "HSALNT0382684". Lineage: Eukaryota; Metazoa; Chordata; Mammalia; Primates; Hominidae. The record is from RNAcentral.